Molecule: long non-coding RNA, 284 nt
Filed under: Lathyrus oleraceus (garden pea)
Lineage: Eukaryota; Viridiplantae; Streptophyta; Magnoliopsida; Fabales; Fabaceae
Description: Pisum sativum (pea) long non-coding RNA (PSAT_LNC011596)
Source: RNAcentral
AAAAGUAAAUGUUAAUGGUUAAUGGUUAGUGUCAGUAGUUAAUGUGCCAUAAGGCAAAUUUAGCAUUAUGUUAUGCAAUCGUAAUUGGACUUAUGUAGAAGUCACAACUAUCUGAGGCCGGUCAAUAAUAAUAUAGGCAACAACACAAGUUAGAGGUCUUGAUUAGUGAAUCAAACUCCAACAACUUUCCAUGCCAAAAAGAAGAUGAGAACUGAUUUUGUAUUGAUUUAGGUGCUUUGCAUGAUUUAGGAAGCAAUCUAUCCUUAAUGCAAAGCCAUUCACGU